GUGCGAGCUCUUGCGAGCCUCGAAGGAUGACGGAUCAUGAAGGCCGCCGCCCUUCGAGGCCUCCGCUUCGCUUCGGCACCUCAGGGUGACGGCCAACUCGAUCUAAAGUCAUCAUGCUCUAGUGACUGAUCAUCCAUGGCCGCGCGGUGGGAAAGCCCUUCGCCCCGCUGCGGUUCUUGGUCAUCAGCCGUGANNNNNCAGCCCGGCUUGUGCGAAGCCUUGUACUCGCCGAGCGUUUUCGGCGCAUUGGCGCUGCGCUCAUU
This 263-nucleotide unclassified non-coding RNA is filed under the name Hevea brasiliensis (rubber tree). The record is from RNAcentral. Lineage: Eukaryota; Viridiplantae; Streptophyta; Magnoliopsida; Malpighiales; Euphorbiaceae.